GAUGAACGCUGGCGGCGUGCCUAAUACAUGCAAGUCGAGCGAACAGACGAGGAGCUUGCUCCUCUGACGUUAGCGGCGGACGGGUGAGUAACACGUGGAUAACCUACCUAUAAGACUGGGAUAACUUCGGGAAACCGGAGCUAAUACCGGAUAAUAUAUUGAACCGCAUGGUUCAAUAGUGAAAGACGGUUUUGCUGUCACUUAUAGAUGGAUCCGCGCCGCAUUAGCUAGUUGGUAAGGUAACGGCUUACCAAGGCAACGAUGCGUAGCCGACCUGAGAGGGUGAUAGGCCACACUGGAACUGAGACACGGUCAAGACUACUACGGGAGGCAGCAGUAGGGAAUCUUACGAAAUGGGCGAAAGCCUGACGGAGCAACGCCGCGUGAGUGAUGAAGGUCUUCGGAUCGUAAAAAUCUGUUAUUAGGGAAGAACAAAUGUGUAAGUAAAUAUGCACGUAUUGACGGUACCUAAUCAGAAAGCCACGGCUAACUACGUG
This 497-nucleotide ribosomal RNA is filed under the name uncultured bacterium. Its description in RNAcentral is "partial 16S ribosomal RNA". It matches the Rfam family "Bacterial small subunit ribosomal RNA", at positions 28 to 507 of the family's 1533-position model. The record is from RNAcentral.